RNAcentral lists this long non-coding RNA (1018 nucleotides) under Homo sapiens (human). RNAcentral's name for it is "non-protein coding SNHG15:33". The record is from RNAcentral. Lineage: Eukaryota; Metazoa; Chordata; Mammalia; Primates; Hominidae.
GUCAGUCUUGGCUGGCAGACCUGUACUCCGUACUCCGUACUUCGUAGUCGCAGCGGCGCGGUCUUCGGCAGUCUAGUCAUCCACCGCCAUCCUGGGCCCCACGUGUUGCCUGACCAUUCCUGAGCCCAGGUGGGAGCCGUGGCUGAGGUGACGGUCUCAAAGUGGAAGAGCUUACUGUCACAGCAACUCCUUUGCAAGAUGCCCCGGCCAGGAAUAGUUGCUGAACACCCCAGGCCUGCUGAGGUCCCUCCUUGAGUCUCAUGUUCAAGCAGUCUUGUGAGUAAAGCACUGGCUACCCCUUUUCACUUACUAUCUUUUCAAGCAUGUUCUACCACCUUGGAAGGUAAGAGGUUAGUACCUUCUUCCAGAGCAGAGGGCAGGCAUUCUUGCUGUGCGUUGUGAAAGGGUAGAGUCCUGCGCUCCUUUCUUGUAGUAGUCCAAUGGCUCAUGCAGGUGCCUCUGACUCCCCUAUGGGAACUGGGGCUUGGGAGGGUGGUGGAAAAUGCUGAUGCUCUGGCUAUUGCUAUUGUUUUGAAUAAUCAGUGGUCCCUUGUCCCUAAUCGAGGAAUUUUGUAUUUUCUACCAGUGUCCAUGAAACUGGGAGGCGACCGUGUUAGCUGCCAGUUCCUGACAGCCACCUCUCACCAGUGGCUUCACUCUGUGUCCCUGACCCAGCACAUGGCACAAGAGUGCCUGCCAUCCGUCAGUGUUUCUACAGCAGCAAUCCCAAGAUGCUGGAGCUAGAGGGGACCUGACCUGAGAGAAGAUACCUUCAGUGGCUGCCAGGCUGUUCCUUGGAACCUGUGCAGGGGUAAGUGUGCAGGAAGGUCUGACCUGGCAAGUCACUUCACUCCUGUUUUAUUUAGAGUCACCUGGCUAAUGAAAAGUAUUUUGACCUUCCCGUAUGGUAAGUCAGGUGAUUGAAUCCCAGAAAGGUUCAUUGUCUUCAAGCUCACAAUACUAUUUUGGGACAAACAGUUGUCUAGUGUUUGGACUCAUGAACCCUGAUUCUUGAGGG